AGAUUGAACGCUAGCGGGAUGCUUUACACAUGCAAGUCGAACGGCAGCGCGGACUUCGGUCUGGCGGCGAGUGGCGAACGGGUGAGUAAUAUAUCGGAACGUGCCCAGUAGCGGGGGAUAACUACGCGAAAGCGUGGCUAAUACCGCAUACGCCCUACGGGGGAAAGGGGGGAGUCGCAAGACCUCUCACUAUUGGAGCGGCCGAUAUCAGAUUAGCUAGUUGGUGAGGUAAAGGCUCACCAAGGCGACGAUCUGUAGCUGGUUUGAGAGGACGACCAGCCACACUGGGACUGAGACACGGCCCAGACUCCUACGGGAGGCAGCAGUGGGGAAUUUUUGGACAAUGGGGGAAACCCUGAUCCAGCCAUCCCGCGUGUGCGAUGAAAGGCCUCGGUUGUAAGACACUUUGUCAGGAAGAAAGGACGUCUUAAUAACGGUCGGUCGACUGACGGUACCUCGCAGAAUAAGACACGGCCUAACUACGUAGCCACGCAGACCGCGGUAA
Molecule: ribosomal RNA, 505 nt
Filed under: uncultured soil bacterium
Lineage: Bacteria
Description: bacterial SSU rRNA
Rfam family: Bacterial small subunit ribosomal RNA
Source: RNAcentral